This 32-nucleotide non-coding RNA is filed under the name Homo sapiens (human). The record is from RNAcentral. Lineage: Eukaryota; Metazoa; Chordata; Mammalia; Primates; Hominidae.
UGUGGCGUCUGUCACCUACUGGUUUCCAAAGU